AUGUAUGAUGCACUGGUUCACAGCGAGGUUCCGGCUGAUAACAGGAAAUUGUGGAAGCUCAAAAUACCUCUAAGUGUGAGGAUAUUCCUCUGGUUUCUAAAUAGAGGAGUCAUUUUAACUAGAGAUAAUUUGGCACGACACAACUGGCAAGGCAGUACAAAAUGUGUCUUGUGCCAACAUGACGAGUCUAUUAGGCACUUAUUUUUUGAGUGUAAGUUUGCUCGGUCAGUUUGGGUCAUAGUUCAAAUAGCUUCAAAUCUAUACCCCACGUAG
This 273-nucleotide ribosomal RNA is filed under the name Triticum aestivum (bread wheat). RNAcentral describes it as "partial small subunit ribosomal RNA". The record is from RNAcentral. Lineage: Eukaryota; Viridiplantae; Streptophyta; Magnoliopsida; Poales; Poaceae.